UUUUUUGUCGAGCCUGCGACUUUUGUCGCAGAAAGCUCGACAUAGGGAUAGUGAUCCGGCGGCGGCGGCGGCGGCGGUGUUAGCUCACUUCUUAAAAGCUUUAUAUUUUAGAAGGUGGGAGACCUGGAUGCUUCAUACUUUGUAUAUGGAUGCCUCAUGUUACGAAGUUUCCGUCAGUCACAUGUCCAAUGUCCUUGACCUCAUUUUCAUGGUUCAGUGACUACUUGAAAAAAAAGUUAAGAUUUUUUGUAAUGUUAAAUUCUCUCUUAUUAUAAGUAAUAGGAUAAAUAUAUUUGGUAUGUGCGUACCUUGCAAGGUCCUCUUGCCCGUCAGACAGUUUUCACUUGACCUCGACCUCAUUUCAUGGAUCAGUGAACAAGGUUAAGUUUUGGUGGUCAAGUCCAUAUCUGAGAUACUAUAAGCAAUAGGUCUAGUAUAUUCGGUGUAUGGAAGCACUGUAAGGUGUACAUGUCCAACUGGCAGGUGUCAUCUGACCUUGACCUCAUUUUCAUGGUUCAGUGGUUAUAGUUAAGUUUUUGUGUUUUGGUCUGUUUUUCUUAUACUGUAUGCAAUAGGUCUUCUAUAUUUUGUGUAUGGAAUGGUUGUAAGGUGUACAGGUCUACCUGGCAGGUGUCAUAUGACCUUGACCUCAUUUUCAUGGUUCAGUGGUCAAAGUUAAGUUUUUGAGUUUUGGCCUUUUUUUCUAAUACUAUAUGCAAUAGGUCAACUAUAUUUGGUGUAUGGAAAUAUUUCAUGAUCUACAUGUCAGUCGCGCAGGUUUUAUUUGACCUUGACCUCAUUUUUUACGGUUCAUUGCUCAGUGUUAAGCUUUUGUGUUUUGGUCUGUUUUUCUUAAACUAUAAGCAAUAAGUCAAUUUUAUUUGUUGUAUGGAAGAAUUGUUAGCUGUACAUGCCUACCUGGCAUUGUUCAUCUGACCUUGACCUCAUUUUCAUGGUUCAAAGGUCAAUGUUUAGUUUUCUUGGUUUAUGUUAAGUUUAUGUGACAGUUGUAAUAAAGCUU
RNAcentral lists this long non-coding RNA (1021 nucleotides) under Mytilus galloprovincialis (Mediterranean mussel). The record is from RNAcentral. Lineage: Eukaryota; Metazoa; Mollusca; Bivalvia; Mytilida; Mytilidae.